Molecule: ribosomal RNA, 1558 nt
Filed under: Staphylococcus aureus
Lineage: Bacteria; Bacillati; Bacillota; Bacilli; Caryophanales; Staphylococcaceae
Description: partial 23S ribosomal RNA
Rfam family: Bacterial large subunit ribosomal RNA
Source: RNAcentral
AGAUUAAGUUAUUAAGGGCGCACGGUGGAUGCCUUGGCACUAGAAGCCGAUGAAGGACGUUACUAACGACGAUAUGCUUUGGGGAGCUGUAAGUAAGCUUUGAUCCAGAGAUUUCCGAAUGGGGAAACCCAGCAUGAGUUAUGUCAUGUUAUCGAUAUGUGAAUACAUAGCAUAUCAGAAGGCACACCCGGAGAACUGAAACAUCUUAGUACCCGGAGGAAGAGAAAGAAAAUUCGAUUCCCUUAGUAGCGGCGAGCGAAACGGGAAGAGCCCAAACCAACAAGCUUGCUUGUUGGGGUUGUAGGACACUCUAUACGGAGUUACAAAGGACGACAUUAGACGAAUCAUCUGGAAAGAUGAAUCAAAGAAGGUAAUAAUCCUGUAGUCGAAAAUGUUGUCUCUCUUGAGUGGAUCCUGAGUACGACGGAGCACGUGAAAUUCCGUCGGAAUCUGGGAGGACCAUCUCCUAAGGCUAAAUACUCUCUAGUGACCGAUAGUGAACCAGUACCGUGAGGGAAAGGUGAAAAGCACCCCGGAAGGGGAGUGAAAUAGAACCUGAAACCGUGUGCUUACAAGUAGUCAGAGCCCGUUAAUGGGUGAUGGCGUGCCUUUUGUAGAAUGAACCGGCGAGUUACGAUUUGAUGCAAGGUUAAGCAGUAAAUGUGGAGCCGUAGCGAAAGCGAGUCUGAAUAGGGCGUUUAGUAUUUGGUCGUAGACCCGAAACCAGGUGAUCUACCCUUGGUCAGGUUGAAGUUCAGGUAACACUGAAUGGAGGACCGAACCGACUUACGUUGAAAAGUGAGCGGAUGAACUGAGGGUAGCGGAGAAAUUCCAAUCGAACCUGGAGAUAGCUGGUUCUCUCCGAAAUAGCUUUAGGGCUAGCCUCAAGUGAUGAUUAUUGGAGGUAGAGCACUGUUUGGACGAGGGGCCCCUCUCGGGUUACCGAAUUCAGACAAACUCCGAAUGCCAAUUAAUUUAACUUGGGAGUCAGAACAUGGGUGAUAAGGUCCGUGUUCGAAAGGGAAACAGCCCAGACCACCAGCUAAGGUCCCAAAAUAUAUGUUAAGUGGAAAAGGAUGUGGCGUUGCCCAGACAACUAGGAUGUUGGCUUAGAAGCAGCCAUCAUUUAAAGAGUGCGUAAUAGCUCACUAGUCGAGUGACACUGCGCCGAAAAUGUACCGGGGCUAAACAUAUUACCGAAGCUGUGGAUUGUCCUUUGGACAAUGGUAGGAGAGCGUUCUAAGGGCGUUGAAGCAUGAUCGUAAGGACAUGUGGAGCGCUUAGAAGUGAGAAUGCCGGUGUGAGUAGCGAAAGACGGGUGAGAAUCCCGUCCACCGAUUGACUAAGGUUUCCAGAGGAAGGCUCGUCCGCUCUGGGUUAGUCGGGUCCUAAGCUGAGGCCGACAGGCGUAGGCGAUGGAUAACAGGUUGAUAUUCCUGUACCACCUAUAAUCGUUUUAAUCGAUGGGGGGACGCAGUAGAAUAGGCGAAGCGUGCGAUUGGAUUGCACGUCUAAGCAGUAAGGCUGAGUAUUAGGCAAAUCCGGUACUCGUUAAGGC